Molecule: long non-coding RNA, 829 nt
Filed under: Salmo salar (Atlantic salmon)
Lineage: Eukaryota; Metazoa; Chordata; Actinopteri; Salmoniformes; Salmonidae
Description: lncRNA (ENSSSAG00000089259.1)
Source: RNAcentral
AAAAGUUCCAAAUAUACAUUUUUUAAAGUAGCUAAAUUUGUAGCUAGGUGCUGUUUGAAAAAUAAGUUGCCAUGGUAGUCUGAAAAAUUGCUAAAUCUAGCAACAAAAUUGCUAAGUUGGCAUCACUGUAGGUAAUGCUGUAACUGACAAUUAACCUGUAAGUCUAUGUCGUUGUUUUUUGUUUGAAUUGUUUACGUGUUCGCUAUGCGGGGGAAAUGAUAAGACAAGCGGAGCUACGUGGCUAAUAACUGUUGUAACGGGGAUCAUUAUCAUAGCAACACACCUUUGGAGUGAAGGCAAUCCCGCGCUGUGUUAGCUAAGUUUUCAUGUCUUCGGGUGUAGUUCGCAAAGGUUGACGUGUGUAUGUUAGGAUGAUAACGUUAUAAUAAUUAAGGAUGAAGUGUGAAUUCAUGCCAGGAAUAUUAAGUGUGAAGUUUUGAUUUCCUCCCUUCUGUAAUAAGCAGCCAAUGAGUUCUCACGGAAGGUGAUAAUUCUGAGUAAAACUACAGAAUAAAGCCGCCAGUUAAAAUCAAGGAACGGUUGUGCUCGUGGUUACUGGAGGGAGCUACAAAUGCAUUUCCUGCUUUUACUUGUGCAGCGAAAUAAAACACACUCCACCAACCCUGAUGUCCUAGCCGUGUCUGAAUCCUGGCUUAGGAAGGCCACCAAAAAUUCUGAAAUUUCCAUCCCCAACUACAACAUUUUCCGUCAAGAUAGAGCUGCCAAAGGGGGCAGAGUUGCAAUCUACUGCAGAGAUAGCCUGCAGAGUUCUGUCAUACUAUCCAGGUCUGUGCCCAAACAGUUGGAGCUUCUACUUUUAAAAAUCCAC